UGCGGUGUCGCCAAGUGGUAAGGCAGCGGGCUUUGAACCCGCCAUUCCUAGGUUCGAAUCCUAGCACCGCAG
This 72-nucleotide transfer RNA is filed under the name Chloroflexota bacterium. Its description in RNAcentral is "tRNA-Gln". It matches the Rfam family "tRNA". From Rfam's summary of the family: Transfer RNA (tRNA) molecules are approximately 80 nucleotides in length. Their secondary structure includes four short double-helical elements and three loops (D, anti-codon, and T loops). Further hydrogen bonds mediate the characteristic L-shaped molecular structure. tRNAs have two regions of fundamental functional importance: the anti-codon, which is responsible for specific mRNA codon recognition, and the 3' end, to which the tRNAs corresponding amino acid is attached (by aminoacyl-tRNA synthetases). tRNAs cope with the degeneracy of the genetic code in two manners: having more than one tRNA (with a specific anti-codon) for a particular amino acid; and 'wobble' base-pairing, i.e. permitting non-standard base-pairing at the 3rd anti-codon position. Lineage: Bacteria; Bacillati; Chloroflexota. RNAcentral also lists the same sequence under 1 other name. The record is from RNAcentral.